AUUGAACGCUGGCGGCAGGCCUAACACAUGCAAGUCGAGCGGAGCGGCGGACGGGUGAGUAAUACCUAGGAAUCUGCCUGGUAGUGGGGGAUAACGUUCGGAAACGGACGCUAAUACCGCAUACUAUCAGAUGCGCGUAGGUCGGAUUAGCUAGUUGGUGAGGUAAUGGCUCACCAAGUCUACGAUCCGUAACUGGUCUGAGAGGAUGAUCAGUCACACUGGAACUGAGAGACGGUCCAGACGGCUACGGGAGGCAGCAGUGGGGAAUAUUGGACAAUGGGCGAAAGUCUGAUCCAGCGACGCCGCGUGGGGGAUGAAGGCCUGCUGGUUGUAAACUACUUUCGACAGGGACGCGGUACCUGUAUAAGAAGCACCGGCUAACUACGUGCCAGCAGCCGCGGUAAUUC
This 407-nucleotide ribosomal RNA is filed under the name uncultured bacterium. RNAcentral describes it as "partial 16S ribosomal RNA". It matches the Rfam family "Bacterial small subunit ribosomal RNA", at positions 30 to 526 of the family's 1533-position model. The record is from RNAcentral.